GCAGAAGUAUUUUAGUUUGAAGAGCAUUAAAUUGAAGAUCUAAAUGUCCCCGGUUCGAUCCCGGGUUCCGGCA
This 73-nucleotide transfer RNA is filed under the name Schistosoma japonicum. It matches the Rfam family "tRNA". Rfam says of the family: Transfer RNA (tRNA) molecules are approximately 80 nucleotides in length. Lineage: Eukaryota; Metazoa; Platyhelminthes; Trematoda; Strigeidida; Schistosomatidae. The record is from Rfam by way of RNAcentral.